Molecule: ribosomal RNA, 494 nt
Filed under: uncultured bacterium
Lineage: Bacteria
Description: partial 16S ribosomal RNA
Rfam family: Bacterial small subunit ribosomal RNA
Source: RNAcentral
GAUGAACGCUAGCGGCAGGCCUAACACAUGCAAGUCGAGGGGUAUCCCGCUUUCGGGCGGGAGAGACCGGCGCACGGGUGCGUAACGCGUAUGCAACCUACCCUGUACUGGGGGAUAGCCCGGAGAAAUUCGGAUUAACACCCCAUAGUACUAAUGAAUGGCAUCAUUUAUUAGUUAAAGGUUACGGUACAGGAUGGGCAUGCGUCCUAUUAGCUAGAUGGUAAGGUAACGGCUUACCAAGGCUACGAUAGGUAGGGGGCCUGAGAGGGUGGUCGCCCACACGGGUACUGAGACACGGACGGGACUCCGACGGGAGGCAGCAGUGGGGAAUAUUGGUCAAUGGGCGCAAGCCUGAACCAGCCAUGCCGCGUGCAGGAAGUCGGUCCUAUGGAUUGUAAACUGCUUUUAUUUGGGAAUAAACCUCUUUACGUGUAGAGAGCUGAAGGUACCAAAUGAAUAAGCACCGGCUAACUCCGUGCCAGCAGCCGCCGUAA